GAUGAACGCUGGCGGGGGGCCUAAUACAUGCAAGUCGAGCGAACGGACGAGAAGCUUGCUUCUCUGAUGUUAGCGGCGGACGGGUGAGUAACACGUGGAUAACCUACCUAUAAGACUGGGAUAACUUCGGGAAACCGGAGCUAAUACCGGAUAAUAUUUUGAACCGCAUGGUUCAAAAGUGAAAGACGGUCUUGCUGUCACUUAUAGAUGGAUCCGCGCUGCAUUAGCUAGUUGGUAAGGUAACGGCUUACCAAGGCAACGAUGCAUAGCCGACCUGAGAGGGUGAUCGGCCACACUGGAACUGAGACACGGUCCAGACUCCUACGGGAGGCAGCAGUAGGGAAUCUUCCGCAAUGGGCGAAAGCCUGACGGAGCAACGCCGCGUGAGUGAUGAAGGUCUUCGGAUCGUAAAACUCUGUUAUUAGGGAAGAACAUAUGUGUAAGUAACUGUGCACAUCUUGACGGUACCUAAUCAGAAAGCCACGGCUAACUACGUG
RNAcentral lists this ribosomal RNA (497 nucleotides) under uncultured bacterium. RNAcentral describes it as "partial 16S ribosomal RNA". It matches the Rfam family "Bacterial small subunit ribosomal RNA", at positions 28 to 507 of the family's 1533-position model. The record is from RNAcentral.